AGUCGAGCGAUGAACACCUUCGGGUGUGAAUUAGCGGCGAACGGGUGAGGAACACGUGAAGAAUCUGCCUUCAACUCUGGGAUAACUCCGGGAAACCGGGGCUAAUACCGGAUAUGAGCCUCGAUCGCAUGAUUGGGGCUGGAAAGUUUUUCGGUUGAAGAUGACUUCGCGGCCUAUCAGCUUGUUGGUGAGGUAAUGGCUCACCAAGGCGACGACGGGUAGCCGGCCUGAGAGGGCGACCGGCCACACUGGGACUGAGACACGGCCCAGACUCCUACGGGAGGCAGCAGUGGGGAAUAUUGGGCAAUGGAGGAAACUCUGACCCAGCGACGCCGCGUGAGGGAUGAAGGCCUUCGGGUUGUAAACCUCUUUCAGUAGGGAAGAAGCGAAAGUGACGGUACCUACAGAAGAAGCACCGGCUAACUAUGUGCCAGCAGCCGCGGUAAUACAUAGGGUGCAAGCGUUGUCCGGAAUUAUUGGGCGUAAAGAGCUCGUAGGUGGUUCGAUACGUCGGAUGUGAAAAUCAGGGGCUCAACCCCUGACCUGCAUCCGAUACGGUCGAGCUAGAGUUUGGUAGGGGAGACUGGAAUUCCUGGUGUAGCGGUGGAAUGCGCAGAUAUCAGGAGGAACACCGAUGGCGAAAGCAGGUCUCUGGGCCAAUACUGACACUGAGGAGCGAAAGCGUGGGGAGCGAACAGGAUUAGAUACCCUGGUAGUCCACGCCGUAAACGGUGGGCGCUAGUUGUGCGAACCUUCCACGGGUUUGUGCGACGCAGCUAACGCAUUAAGCGCCCGCCUGGGGAGUACGAUCGCAGAUUAAA
This 821-nucleotide ribosomal RNA is filed under the name uncultured bacterium. Its description in RNAcentral is "bacterial SSU rRNA". It matches the Rfam family "Bacterial small subunit ribosomal RNA", at positions 60 to 898 of the family's 1533-position model. The record is from RNAcentral.